This 306-nucleotide ribosomal RNA is filed under the name Triticum aestivum (bread wheat). RNAcentral describes it as "partial small subunit ribosomal RNA". The record is from RNAcentral. Lineage: Eukaryota; Viridiplantae; Streptophyta; Magnoliopsida; Poales; Poaceae.
AUGCGAGUAUCCAAGUUCAAAAGAAAGAAAAACAUUAGUCCCCUAUAUACGCGCCCUGGCCCACAGUCGACCGUGCUCGCUCAUGCGCGUCGAUCGCGCAACGACUCAAUCAAACGCGUCUCUCGCUGGAUUCGGUCCACGUAUGCCAUCUCGUUUAUCAGCGUCUCGCCGCCUACCGGGCCCCAGCGCCCCUCCCCACCAAUCCAAAAUUCGAAGCCGCUCGAGAAAAAACCACGUCCGUCUUCACAGCCACACAAGAUGUGUGGGUCCCGCCUGUAUGCGGAACUGCUUUUUUUUUUUGUCUAA